CUAGCUGUAAACGGUGCACAUUUGCUGUGAGAGGAAUCGACCCUUCUCGUGGCGUAGCUAACGCGAUAAAUGUGCCGCCUGGGAAGUACGGUCGCAAGAUUAAAACUCAAAGAAAUUGACGGGGGCCUGCACAAGCGGUGGAGUAUGUGGCUUAAUUCGAUGCAACGCGAAGAACCUUACCUGGCCUUGACAUGCAGGGAUUAUUCGGGUGAAAGCCUGGAAAUUGCCGCAAGGUGUAACCUGCACAGGUGC
Molecule: ribosomal RNA, 252 nt
Filed under: uncultured bacterium
Lineage: Bacteria
Description: partial 16S ribosomal RNA
Rfam family: Bacterial small subunit ribosomal RNA
Source: RNAcentral